GGUGAGUUGGCAGAGUGGUAAUGCACCGGACUCGAAAUCCGGCGAACCCGUGUUGAGCGGGCGCGCAGGUUCAAUUCCUGUACUCACCU
This is a transfer RNA of 89 nucleotides. It matches the Rfam family "tRNA". From Rfam's summary of the family: Transfer RNA (tRNA) molecules are approximately 80 nucleotides in length. Their secondary structure includes four short double-helical elements and three loops (D, anti-codon, and T loops). The record is from Rfam.